AAAGUCGUAACAAGGUUUCCGUAGGUGAACCUGCGGAAGGAUCAUUAAAAAAACCGUGUUUAGGGCUGGUCUAACCAUCGCCCUGACCGAUAUUACCCAUGAGUUUUGUGUACCUAUUGUUUCCUCGGCAGGCUUGCCUGCCAGUAGGACCCCUUUACAAACCCACUGUAGUUGCAGUCAGCGUCAGUCACAUUUAAUAAUUACAACUUUCAACAACGGAUCUCUUGGUUCUG
This 233-nucleotide unclassified non-coding RNA is filed under the name Ascomycota sp. Its description in RNAcentral is "partial contains small subunit ribosomal RNA, internal transcribed spacer 1, and 5.8S ribosomal RNA". The stretch from base 1 to 47 matches the Rfam family "Eukaryotic small subunit ribosomal RNA", at positions 1785 to 1831 of the family's 1831-position model. The record is from RNAcentral. Lineage: Eukaryota; Fungi; Ascomycota.